AGUCGCGAGUUGUUGAGAAUGAAUGUCCGAUCUCUUUUGAAUCCUCCAGAUGAGGGAGAGAUGACAAUGAUCGCUGCCGUGGCAUUAACAGAGUUGAGGAAGAGAUCUCAGUCUCUGUUGAUAACCCAGAGCCAGGUCAAUUUUCCACACAGGCAGCAAAUGAGAACUGUGGAUGCGGCCUGCUGCUACUGUGAACAGGAAGCGCUCCAUCGACUUCAGAUAAAUGGAAGUACUAAACCUGCUGAAAUUUCCAUCCAACGAGUGUCCACGAGAGAAAAGAAAUA
RNAcentral lists this small RNA (284 nucleotides) under Histoplasma capsulatum var. duboisii H88. RNAcentral's name for it is "Histoplasma capsulatum H88 hypothetical RNA". The record is from RNAcentral. Lineage: Eukaryota; Fungi; Ascomycota; Eurotiomycetes; Onygenales; Ajellomycetaceae.